RNAcentral lists this long non-coding RNA (209 nucleotides) under Hordeum vulgare. RNAcentral describes it as "long non-coding RNA (HVUL_LNC009125)". Lineage: Eukaryota; Viridiplantae; Streptophyta; Magnoliopsida; Poales; Poaceae. The record is from RNAcentral.
UGUUCUCAUAAUUUUUUUAUGUGAAUGCAAAUUCUUUGCUCAAUCAAUUCUCUUGUUAAUUCUUGUCAACCGGAGUCAUCAUGUUAAUUCUUUUCCAACCGGUGGGCUUCUCUCCAAGUGGAUUCAAUCCUCUCCAAUUUUUGCAAGAUUAUUCUCUCAUCUUAUUCCGAAGUUUGUCUCAUCUGUCCCAAGUAGUCUUUGUUUUUUCC